Small nuclear RNA from Phyllostomus hastatus (greater spear-nosed bat), 103 nucleotides. The record is from RefSeq and is a predicted model, not a curated record. Lineage: Eukaryota; Metazoa; Chordata; Mammalia; Chiroptera; Phyllostomidae.
CUGCUUUGGCAGCACAUGUACUAAAAUUGGAACGAUACAGAGAGGAUUAGCAUCACCCCUGGGCAAGGAUGACACACAAAUUCAUGAAGUGUGUCAUGUUGUC